This 225-nucleotide ribosomal RNA is filed under the name uncultured bacterium. RNAcentral describes it as "partial 16S ribosomal RNA". It matches the Rfam family "Bacterial small subunit ribosomal RNA", at positions 129 to 354 of the family's 1533-position model. The record is from RNAcentral.
CCGUAUGCAGGGGGACAACAGUCAGAAAUGACUGCUAAUACCGCAUAAGCACACAAUGCUGCAUGGCAUGGUGUGAAAAGAUUUAUCGGCAUACGAUGGCCCCGCGUCUGAUUAGCCAGUUGGCAGGGUAAUGGCCUACCGAAGCAACGAUCAGUAGCCGGCUUGAGAGAGUGACCGGCCACAUUGGGACUGAGACACGGCCCAGACUCCUACGGAAGGCAGCAG